RNAcentral lists this ribosomal RNA (415 nucleotides) under Clostridioides difficile. RNAcentral's name for it is "bacterial LSU rRNA". It matches the Rfam family "Bacterial large subunit ribosomal RNA", at positions 1116 to 1536 of the family's 2925-position model. The record is from RNAcentral. Lineage: Bacteria; Bacillati; Bacillota; Clostridia; Peptostreptococcales; Peptostreptococcaceae.
CACUCAUUCAAAGAGUGCGUAAUAGCUCACUGGUCGAGUGAUCCUGCGCCGAAGAUUUCCGGGGCUAAAACUUACUACCGAAGCUACGGCAGCAGUAAUGAUGGGUAGGGGAGCUUCCCAUACGGGUGGAAGCAUGACCGUAAGGACAUGUGGACAGUAUGGGAGUGAGAAUGUUGGCAUGAGUAGCGAGAUGUGGGUGAGAAUCCCACAGGCCGUAAACCCAAGGUUUCCAGGGGAAGGUUCGUCCGCCCUGGGUUAGUCGGGACCUAAGCUGAGGCCGAAAGGCGUAGGUGAUGGACAACAGGUUGAUAUUCCUGUACUACCGAUAACCGUUUGAGAGAUGGGAUGACACAGUAGGAUAAGCUAAGCACACUGUUGGUUAUGUGUGCCCAAGCAUUGAGGCAGUCAAAGUAGG